GUCCGACAGAACCAGGGUCUCCACGAAGCCCUCUCUUCCCUUCCUCACCCUGAGGUCCAAUCACACCCUGAGAACCUGGUGGACCCUGGGAACAGAUGAGGGACCUGAGCAGCUUUGACCAGAGUACACAGGUAUCAUACACAGGAGCUACAGCAGUUUGUCAAACAUGAAGGACAGUGAGUGACACACUUACAUCUUCACCUGGUUUUCCUGGAGGACCCUCAGCCCCCCGUUGGCCAGACGGACCCUAAAUGACACACACACAAUAUCCUUUAAAAACGCGAUCUAAGUCGACUCAGUUGUUAUGAAGUUUGAUUUUUUUUUUUAUUUAU
This is a long non-coding RNA of Cynoglossus semilaevis (tongue sole), 332 nucleotides long. RefSeq lists it as uncharacterized. The transcript is spliced from 3 exons. NCBI's taxonomy places the organism in Eukaryota, Metazoa, Chordata, Actinopteri, Pleuronectiformes, Cynoglossidae. The record is from RefSeq and is a predicted model, not a curated record.